CUGUUGUGAACCUAGCUCCUCUGAAUCCUAAUACACGCUUUGAACGGCAUAAAGAGGUAUUGUCACUGCCUCAGCCUCGUCAUUUCAUCAGAGAAAUGGACAACCAGAGGAGCAGAACAUGCCAGGUGAUGUGGGGUUUCUGAUGCUAGCAUAUUGUGCCACUGCAUACCAGCCAGCUGAGUACCUUCUAUAGAAUAAGAUUCAUGUCCCCAGCAAGCAUGCACACUGGUUUGGGCUACAUCAGCACCAAGACAGUCCCUUGGUAAUUUUCUGUUGUGCCAAGGCUACUAACAGGUAUGAACUGCACCAUGCUUGAGCAGGUCCUCCUCAACAC
Molecule: long non-coding RNA, 334 nt
Filed under: Anas platyrhynchos platyrhynchos (common mallard)
Lineage: Eukaryota; Metazoa; Chordata; Aves; Anseriformes; Anatidae
Description: lncRNA (ENSAPLG00000023005.1)
Source: RNAcentral